ACCAAAGAGCUCCCAUCUGGCAAGAAAUACCUCAGUUAUACACACCCCAGCCUUAAGUCUUUGUGGGAAUUGGGGCUGUCACUGCUUGCCCAGCACUGGGACCUGAGGAUGACAGCUGACAGCCGUGGGCUCUUGCAGUUCCGUAGAAAGAUUGUGGCGUGGUCACAGCCGAAGUCGUGUAGGUCACUCGCUAUACUACUGGCUCAUUAAAUGGAAAUGGCACCAAAACU
RNAcentral lists this long non-coding RNA (230 nucleotides) under Rattus norvegicus (Norway rat). Its description in RNAcentral is "long non-coding RNA NONRATT005558". Lineage: Eukaryota; Metazoa; Chordata; Mammalia; Rodentia; Muridae. The record is from RNAcentral.